AUGGCAGUGGCAGCACAAAAGUCCGUUUCGACUCUGAUGCGUAAAACCCUGCAGCGGCAGGCAGCUGUAGCCAGAGAAAAAUUUAAAUUCAAUAAAAAUCAAGUAGAGCAAAUCUUGCUAGCCUAUGUGAGAGAGAAAAAAACUGGGCCAUACAAUGAUUUGCUAAAAGUUCUGAAGGACAUUCCUUUGAACGACGAAAACUAUCAGAUUCUCUUUGAAGAUAGUCUGUCUUGUGUGGUUCUGUUAGGACGUGACUUCAAACAGUAUGUGGAACUUGUGUGUAGUGUUGAGUUUGCCGGCCGGAGGGAGGAUCUCGUGGAACUGUUCAGUAGAUUUGUACUGAGCUUGGUUACUGCGCACACAUACCAUUGUGCGAGUGUGAUGACCUGUCUUAUUAAGUUGUUCAAAGCUGAAGGUGAAAACUGGGAAGACAGUCCACCGCCAGAAACAGUGAUGAAAUGGUCAAAUAUCCACACAGUUAUUGCACAAAUUGUAGCCAUCAUGCCUAUGUCCAGUGAUCUCCUAAUGCAAACAGUGAUAGAUGGGUUUCCGUAUUACAAAGCAGGCUGCUAUAUCAAUAGGUCUUACAUACACAAUCUAAUAUGGAUGAGCAAAUACAUACCACUACUUCAGGAACAAAUUGUGACGACCAUAGUUAGCAGAUUAGUAAUAAUGGAUGUAAAUUUAGUAGACCGAUCAAAGAAUAGAGUACCGGCUGAGACACUGUUUGAAAUGGACACGGACGAGCAAGACGUUCUUACAGACUCAUUGGACUACUGCAUGUUGGAAAUGUUGAAAUGGCUCGAAGAGGAAAGAGAUCCUGCACUGAACAUCUUGUGCAAUGUUUUCGAAAGAGUUGUUCUUCCAACCUAUGGUAUAAAAUACGUCCAAUUCCUGCUGCUAUACACGAUAUCGAUCAACCAGCAAUGCGCCGACCGUAUACUGAACAACUUGUGGAUAGUGGCGGCAGGUCUUCACGGGUUGGGACCCGGUGCCUUAGCGACCCGGCGGACAGCUGCCAGCCAUCUGGCUGGUUUACUAGCGCGCUGCGUCAGGGUUCCUAACUCCAGACUGAUUCACUACCUAAGAAACAUGGCGGAAUGGUGCCACUCGUAUAUUACGGCGACGCAGGAAUCGACAGCGGCGUGUGAUAACACCAAAGUGCACGGCUCCUUCCAUGCUGUGUGCCACGCCAUCUUUUAUCUGGUCGCGUUCAAAAACCAUCACCUGUUCAUGAACAAAGAAAAUCUCCUCUUCGUCGAGUCACUCAACCUCCCUCGUCUAGUAACCUGCAACCUGAACCCGCUCCGCACGUGUCCACCGCAAGUGACGCACGCAUUCUCUUCAGUGACGCGCGCGCACCAAGUCGUGUACUGCCAAGCUAUCAUCGAGAAGAACGCGCGACACACGCUGCAGUCGGCUGCUCAAGAUUAUGAUGAUUGGUUCCCGUAUGAUCCCUACACGCUGCCUGUAUCCGGUAAGAUAAUCUGGCCGUUAUGCAUAGAGUACAAAGACUUCCUAAAGGACGGCGACAACGAGUCGCAAUACACGCACAUGAAAAUAAAGCUUGAAGAAGACGACGACUACCUAAUGUUAGCCAGCCCCACGAAAAGGAUAACGAACGGCAUUUCACCCGGAUUCAGAACCAGUGAAUCAAUUAUGAUGUAGAGAAUAUGACUGAAAUGGAGAUUACUAAUACUGCUUGGACAGUUAGCAUCAAAAGUAGUGAUAGUCCAAAGAUUUGAAAAACCUCUUUUGAUACUUUCUGUACCAUAAAAGGCAUCCAAUGUAAGCCUUAAAAAUUACUGAUUUAAUACAAAUGUUAAGUUUUAGCCCAAUAUUAAUGUUAUUAAGAUUGUGUCAUACAUUUUUGAUAUGUAACUAAAUAAUACAUAUUCGUAUGUAAACAUUUAUACUUAUCAAUGGUAUAUUUUAUGGAGUAGCGAAGAAAAAAUUGCUAUAUUGCCUACCAGUAAAUAAUUUGCUUUACUUUUUUCUUAAGUCAUGUUAUCUAUUGGAUUCAGAUGAUAAUUAAAGUCUGUUUUAAGUAAAUUAUUUAUUCACCUUGAUUUUUAAAUAAAACAUGUA
RNA transcript from Ostrinia furnacalis (Asian corn borer), 2088 nucleotides. It is a transcript of the gene named RNA polymerase I-specific transcription initiation factor RRN3 homolog Tif-IA, with no coding region annotated. Lineage: Eukaryota; Metazoa; Arthropoda; Insecta; Lepidoptera; Crambidae. The transcript is spliced from 8 exons. The record is from RefSeq and is a predicted model, not a curated record.